This 13744-nucleotide long non-coding RNA is filed under the name Fragaria vesca (wild strawberry). Its description in RNAcentral is "long non-coding RNA (FVES_LNC001138)". The record is from RNAcentral. Lineage: Eukaryota; Viridiplantae; Streptophyta; Magnoliopsida; Rosales; Rosaceae.
UUUCGCCUAUUCCGAAGAGGGGUCAAGUGAAGAUAGGGAUAGUGGUAGGAUUAGCAAACUCAGUUGCUUCCAUCUUCACUCCUCAGCGUCCAUCAAUGUACAAGCAGCAUUCUUCUAGUUAACUCGUAACUAUUGGGAAUAGUACGUGCUUGUGUUGUGAAGAUGCCUAGCCGCAGAUAGCUUUUGCCUCUUGAUUUUCCAUUCUUUUUUAUUUCGGAAAAGAUUUGAGCUUCAUGUACUGGAUCUUAAAGAGUUUGUAUAUUGUAGAUUUUUGCAUCAGAUAUGAAAUGGAGUCUGUAUUCUAUCUCUUUUGUUCACAACUUGGCUAGGAUCGGUACUCAAUCUCAAUUAAUUAACCUCUACGAUUAAGAAGCAUUUCAAGCUAAUUAAUUGAAACUGGAACCCCAAAAGAACAAGUUUAUCAAAUUAAAGUCGUUUGUCGUCUCAAAUCGGCCGUCACAUAGGAGCUAAUAUUGCCUACUCGACUAGCUAGGCAUUGGGUAGAAUAUGCAAUACUGUCAAAGGCAAAAGAACACUGUAAACUCGAUCAGAGAACUUUCUAUAAUUUGUAUGCAAGUAAUGUAACAGAGGGAGCGUAGUCAUUGUUUGAGCCCAGUGGGUAUUUUGGUCCAAGACUCGGGGUACGUUUUAGAUAACAUUUGGGCCAGUACCUGUGGCCCUUUUUUAAUGCGAAGCCCACGAAGGGUGGCGAGGUCUGGCAACACGCGAGCUGGAGUUUUGCAAGGAUUCUGAUACCCCGCGGGAUUCGAUGUCCUCGCGAGGUCCUUUGUUUCAGUUCGUGUAGGAUUUUGCAGUGCAUGGUGAGGUAGAGUUGGAAAUGGACUGUAGUACUCCGCGGGAUAGGAUCGCUUAGUGUUCGAGUUCGCGUACGACGCUACAGUGAGAUGAUGCGGAGCGGUGAGCGAGACCUAGGCGAGAUCUGUUCUGGACAUGUGUUGCAUGGACCGCGCGGCUCGCGAGCUGGUCCUAUCCUUGUGGAAUUCUAAUUGGUGAGUCCGAGUGGGUUGUGAUUAGGUCUCUGCGAAUUGCUUGCGGAUCGCUAUAUAAAGGAGUUCGAGCAGACCUUCUAACACACACAAUCAAAUCAUACAAAACAAUUACAAAUCCUCGAGCAUCCUCAAAACCCUAAGUUCUAAGUGCACUUCGCCUUAGUUCUCAGACCCCUCCCUGAUUCGCCUUUCUCCCUAUUUGUUGCUCUGCUCGCUCUAACAGUGAGUAUCGAUUCACAAGUGACAAGAGGUUUUACUCGUAAUCCCUCGUCCGCGAGGUGGCACCGGUAACCCCUUCUUCGCUUGUUUAGAAGUCUAGCCGCAGCGCAUUUCUUUCCUCGUCCACGAGGUGGCACGCCCCGCAAUCUCCUUUUUAACUUUUGAGUCACCGGAGUUCCGACUCUGCCCCUGUUAAGACGCGUGGCCAAAACAGUCAUCAUCAGACAUUCAGACUCAUGGACCAAUGUCCACACGACAUUGAUCAAUAUAUUCAAGCCUCACCGUCCAAACUGAUGGGAGAGACUAGUACGAGUUAAUGUUGAUCACAUCAUUAUGUUUCAUAAAAGGCAUAAAUGGCCUUUUAUUUAAUAUCAUCAACCAAACCCUAAUAUCAUAAUCCCACACUGCUUAGAUCCGAAUCUAUGCCUAUUUAACACCAUCAAACAUAAUUUUCAACAUGUGUAGAUCUUGGGAAGAAGUACAUGCAUGAACCUCAUUAGUCCUUUUCAGUACAAUUUAAAUUCAAUGAAUGUUGGUUUCAUCAUGUACCUUUGAAAUUAUAACAUAUGGUCCUAACUAAUUAUUCAAUUCAAAUAAAACUUUCUGAUUGUGAAGUGUUUUAAGAUCACACUCUUUCUCAUGUUUUUCUUUAAAUUAAUUCCCGUCCUCCACUCUCNGAAAUACAGCCAUAUAUAUAUAUAUAUAUAUAUAUAUAUAUAUAUAUAUANNNNNNNNNNNNNNNNNNNNUAAAGUAAGUCACUCCCUUCACUAAACAAAGAAAGGUUCUUCUAAACAGAGAUUACAAGAUCUUCUAAGAUUAGUGAAGGCUAUUUGAGUUUGUUCACCUUAAGUAUAAAUUAAGUAUAUAAUUGCAUGAAAUAUCCCAACUUUUACUAAUCACAUUGGAACAUUGGCUCAUAAAGAAUUGGCUUCUUUGAUCAAAAUAAUUGGCUUCUUUUUUGUAGUGGGAUGGAGCUUUAUGAGCAUGUGACUAAUUAGGUGGAUUUGUUCAUACUUCAUAGCAUGUAGGAACCAAGAAUUUAAAAGGGUUAAAACUGCCCUACUUCAGUUCUUUAACUUGAUUAACUAAACAUCUCUUAUAAUUAGGUGUGCUAAUCAUCUGUUUGUUUAUAAAUACAUAAACUAGUAUGCCUUCAGAUACCAAAUUAACCCUAGCUAGUUUGAUAUAUAGCUGAUAGUUUUAUUAGACCAGUCUAGAAAUGUGAUGUACUAAUGAAAUUGUAGCAAGUAAACUCAACAGCUGGCUAGCUAGGUCAAUAAUCAAAAUUGAAUUGCCAACUGAAAAUCAAAUUCCAUGAGCAAAGACUUGAGAAUGAGACUGUUUUUCCUUUCUCAUUACUUUUUGAACCCCUUUCUCAUAUUUGGUUAGUGUAAUUGAUUAACUUAAUUGUGCCCUAUGUGCUGCAUAUGAACCAUGCUCCCUCAAUAAUUGCACACACAUCUAUUAUUAAACUAAGUAUCAGGUUCAAUUAGCAGCCUUAAUUUUGUUCAUAAUCUAAAUCAUUAGAUACGAUUUGUUCCCUUAAACACAAUCUGACAUGAUAAAUUAUAAUACUGUGUGCAUUAGGCUCAUACAUGAAAGUACAAUGAAUCAAGGUGCUUCCUCUAUCAGAGUCGGUGAAUGGUAUUGGCAUUGCUCCAUAAUUGUACUUGAUGAGAAUAAUAUGAACGAUGGGAUAAACACAAACUUAGAUAACUAGCAUUUCAUGUCAAUAAUUUUUCUUCUAUUCUUAUACUUGUUUUCUAACACAUAAGAAAAUGCGAUACGCUAAUAAUAUAGAAGAUUAAAUUAGUUCUGUAAAAUUAUUAGAAGAUAAGAACACUAGCUAAUUGUCUAUAAGUUCGAUAAAAAAUCAUUGUAUAGUUAAUUUAACAAAUCAAACAUAGAAAUGAAUGAUUUUAGAUCGUCGAAGUAAAACAAUAAAUUCAAACUUCUUAUCUCUCUAUCACAUCAUAUCAAUUUUAGAGAAGACGUGGGCAUGAAGAAAGAAAGAAACAAAGAAGGUUUGGUCCAUGCCAGAUCCAGAGCUAGCUUUGGCCCUUUGGGAAAAAGAUGCGCUAACAAACAAAAGAGCUGCCUCUGGGAAUCUGGAUAGGAGUGCUCAGUCAAUGAGUAAGAUAGUUCUUGUUAUAAGAACCAAUUUGACCACGUGCUUAAUUUGGUAUAGUUAUCCCACUAACAAUUUUCAUGAUUAAAAGUUGUUGCGGUUAUUGUUGGGAGAGUGACUUUCCAAGGUCAAGUCGCCCUGAAGAUAAGCUUUUCCGGUUGCGAAUUCAAGGUGAAAGCCUUGGCAUUUUAUAAUGGAAACCCGACAAGACCCACAGUGUUCACAUAGAACGUGAACUUUGGGAGAGUCAAGAUUGUCUUGUCAAACAAAAAAAUUUGCAGUCAAAUUCUACGAGCAAGAUUAACGUUAAAAAACGAUGAGGGUGGUCAGAGUCUUUGAGCACUAUAUAAAGCACGAGGAAGAUGACCAAAAUCACAAACUCAAACACAGCUUCAAGUUUCAAGCUUUUCUUCUUCCUCUCUCUCUCUCUCUCUCUUAGUUUCGGUGACUUGUUUUGGAUAUCAAAGCAAACCCAGAAGCAAAAACUAGAUGGAAGGUGCAAGGAGUGCUAUGAUCAACGGUGGGAACUUGUCUCAGAGGAUUUCUGGCCGUCUGAUCCCCAAGAGGGGUCAGGUGAAGAUGGCCAUAGUUGGGAUUCUGCUUCACUCUGUUUCUUCUAUGUUCUCUCACCGUCGUGGUGGUGCUGAUGCUCCUCAUCAUUUCUCUUAGAUGUUUUGUCUGUGUGGGGAUUUCUAGAUGAGUGGUUGCAGAGUUUGAGCUUCUGUUUUGUGCAUCAAAGGUUGUACAAAGUUCUAAACUUUCAUCACAAACACUAGCUUACUACACAUUAAAGGGUGCAGAGAAUUACUUAUCAGAGAUGGAGAGUUCCACAGCCAAUGCCACUUCCGGGAGAAUGGUGAACGCCGGAGACUUUUCGCGUCGGUGUCAUGCGCGGCGCCCUAUUCCGAAGAGGGGUCAAGUGAAGAUAGGGAUAGUGGUAGGAUUGGCAAACUCAGUUGCUUCUAUCUUCACUCCUCAGCGUUGAUCCAUGAACAAGCAGCAUUCUUCUAGUUAACUCGUAACUUGUGAAGAUGCCUAGCUGCAGAUAGCUUUUGCCUCUUGAUUUUCCCUUCUUGUUUUUUUUUUCGGAAAAGAUUUGAGCUUCAUGUACUGGAUCUUAAAGAGUUUGUAUAUUGUAGAUUUUUGCAUCAGAUAUGAAAUGGAGUUCGUAUUCUAUCUCUUUUGUUCACAACUUGGCUCGGAUCGGUAUUCAAUCUCAAUUAAUUAACAUCUAGGAUUAAGAAGCAUUUCAAGCUAAUUGAAACCCGAACCCCAAAAGAACAAAUUUAUCAAAUUAAAGUAACGCGUUGUCGCCCCAAAUGGACAGUCACAUAGGAGCUAAUAUCGCGCCUACCUGACUAGGCAUUGGGCAGAACAUGUAAUACUGUCAAAGGCAAAGGAAACACCAUAAACUUAAGAAAAAUUUCUAUAAUUUGUAUGUAAGAGAGGGAGCGUAGUCAUCAUCAGACUCAUGAACCGAUUUCCACACUACGUUGAUCGAUAUAUUCAAGCCUCAUAAUGACCUUUAUUUUAGGGAUAAUGACCUAAUGCACAAAAACAACAAAAUUAAAACCCACUUGAAUGAAAAUCUGUUUUUAUGCCCAUUUCAAUUAAUAUUACACAAAUAAUUAUUAUACUCUCUCAAUUACCUUUUCUGAUCUCUCUUUUUACCCACACAAACCUCAUCCUUCUCUCUCUCUCUCUNNNNNNNNNNNNNNNNNNNNACCACACUCUCUCUCUCUCUCUCUCUCUCUCUCUCUCUCUCUCUCUCUCUCUCUCUCAUCCACGAGCACAAGGAACACAACGUCUCAAUUCCGUCAGAUCCAUGAUGACCACGACGACGAGGACGUCUCUCAGUUCCGGUGCGGCAACAUCCGGAUUCAUAUCUCAUGUCGGCCGACGAUGACGCAAUCAUAGAUCGAACGCUCAGUUUUGAGCGAUGCGAGCGAAUAAGAAGCCGGAGAUGACCGGGUCGGAGGUCUUCAAAACAAAGCCUGCAUUCAGAUCUCUACAAAAGCAGAGAAUCAAACUUCGACGUUUGAUUCCUUCCCAGAGACUGAGACCUCGUCGCUCGUCGCUCUGGCGCUCUACGCUCGCCAGUCAUUGCUCAACGCUCGGCCUAACUGAAGCAGAUCUGGUCCUGAGCCUCCUCCCAAGCGCUGACGACAAAUGUAGUAGUGAUUUUUUGUUGUUAAACUACUCUCUCUCUCUCUCUGUGGAAACUACUCUCUCCCAUCAAGCAUCGCCGACGAUGACGUCGGUCGAGAUCGAGGACGCAUCUCGACAAUGACGCACCACUGCUAUGGCCGUAGUCGAGCCUAUGCAUGAUCUUGUGGUCGUCCACAAUUUUUACGAUGAAGAUAGAGACAAGGUGAUAUCUUUUGAUAUAUUUCUUCUUAUUGGUCAGUAAACUGUUUAUUAGAAGUUUAUUGCCUUCCAGUAAAAGUUUACUGCCCCCAGUAAAAUCCAGUAGAAGUUUACUGCUUUCCCAGUAGAAGUUUACUACCUCCUAACAAAACAUUUUUCAUCAUUACUGCCUCUCAAUAAGGUUUUAUUGACCUUAGUAGAAGUUUACUGUCCCUCAGUAAAAUCUCAGUAGAAGUUUACUGCUCCCCGGUAGAAGUUUAAUAUCUCCCAGUAAAAUAUUUUUCAUCAUUACUACCCUUCAAUAAGGUUUUAUUGACCUCAGAGAAAUUUACCGUAUUUAAGUAAAAAUUACUUGAAGAGAGGUUGAGGGGAUGGAACUGAAGCCAAAUUAACCUACUAUGUGUAUAAUCUCACCAAGAUUCAUAUGAAGAAUUAUCAUCAACCAAACCCUAAUAUCAUAAUCCCACUGCAUAUAGAUUCCCACCAUGAUCAAACAUAAUUUUUAACAUGUGUACUGUUCUUACUUCUUAGAUCUUAGGAAGAAGUACAUGCAUGAACCUCAUCAUUAGUCCUUUUCAGUACAAUUUUUAAAUUCAAUGAAUGUUGGUUUCAUCAUGUACCUUUGAAAUUAUAACAUAUGGUCCUAACUAAUUAUACAAUUCAAAUAAAACUUUCGGAUUGUGAAAUGUUUUAAGAUCACACUCUUUCUCAUGAUUUUCUUGAACUUUAUUCCUGUCCUCCACUCUCAGAAAAUAACAGCCAUAUAUUAAGGUUUCUCUAAUAAAGUAAGUCACUCCCUUCACUAAACAAAGAAAGGUUCUUCUAAACAAAGAUUACAAUAUCUUCUAAGAUUAGUGAAGGCUAUUUGAUUUUGUUCACCUUAAGUAUAAAAUAUAUAAUUGCAUGAAAUAUCCCAACUUUUACUAAUCACAUUGGAACAUUGGCUCAUAGAGAAUUGGCUUCUUUUCUGUAGUGGGAGCUUUAUGAGCAUGUGACUGAUUAGGUGGACUUGUUCAUAGCAUGUAGGAACCAAGAAUUUAAAAGGGUUAAAAUUGCCCUACUUAAGUUCUUUAACUUGAUUAACUAAACAUCUCUUAUAAUUAGGUGUGUUAAUCAUCUGUUUGUUUAUAAAUAUAUAAACAAGUAUGCCUUCAGAUACCAAACCCUAGCUAGUAGCUAGAUAUAUAGCUGAUAGUUUUGUUAAACCAGUCUAGAAAUGUGAUGUACUAAUGAAAUUGUAGCAAGUAAACUCAACAGCUGGCUAGCUAGGUCAAUAAUCAAAAUUGAAUUGCCAACUGAAAAUCAAAUUCUAUGAGCAAAGACUUGAGAAUGAGACUGUUUUUCCUUUCUCAUAACUCUUUGAACCCCUUUCUCAUAUUUGGUUAGUGUAACUGAUUAACUUAAUUGUGCCCUAUGUGCUGCAUAUGAACUAUAUGUGCUCCCUCUAUAAUUGCACACACAUCUAUUAUUAAACUAAGUAUCAGGUUCAAUUGGCAGCCUUAAUUUUGUUCAUAAUCUAAAUCAUUAGAUACGAUUUGUUGCCUUAAACACAAUCUGACAUGAUUAAUUAUAAUACUGUGUGCAUUAGGCUCAUACAUGAAAGUACAGUGAAUCAAGGUGCUUCCUCUAUCAGAUUCAGUGAAUGUAUUGGCAUUGCUCCAUAAUUGUACUUGAGAAUAAUAUAUAUGAACGACGGGAUAAACACAGACUCAGAUAACUAGCAUUUCAUGUCAAUAAUUUGUCUUCUAUUCUUGUACUUGUUUUCUAACACAUAAGAAAAUUAGAUACUCUAAUAAUGUAGAAGAUUAAUUUAGUUCCGUACAAAUUAUUAGAAGAUAAGAACACUAGCUGAUUGUCUAUAAGUUCGAUACAAAAUCAUCGUAUAGUUAAUUUGACACAUCAAACAUAAAAAUGAACAAUUUUAGAUCGUCGAAACUAGAUCUCGUGUACUUACUCAAAGUAGAAAAACAAUAAAUUCCAUUUUUUAUCUCUCUAUCAUAAAACUCGACUUCAGUGACAAAGACCGGUCACAUCGUAUCAAUCAUAAAAAUGAACAAUUUUAGAUAGUCGAAACUAAAUCACGUGUACCCGCUCAUAGUAGAAAAACAAUAAAUUCCACUUCCUAUCUCUCUAUCACAUCAUAUCAAUUUUAGAGAAGACGUGGGCAUGAAGAAAGAAAGAAACAAAGAAGGUUGGGUCCAUGCCAGAUGCAGAGCUAGCUUUGGCUCUAUGGGAAAAAGAUGCGCUAACAAACAAAAGAUCAGCUGCCUCUGGGAAUCUGGAUAGUAGUGCUCAGUCAAUGAGUAAGAUAGCUCUUGUUAUAAGAACCAAUUUGACCUCGUGCUUAAUUUGUUAUAGUUAUCCCACUAGCAAUUUUCAUGAUUAAAAGUUGUUGCGGUUCUUGUUGGGAGAGUGACUUUUCAAGGUCAAGUCGCCGUGAAGAUAAGCUUUUCCGGUUGCGAAUUCAAGUUGAAAGCUUUGGCCGUUUUGGCUUUUUAUAAUGGAAACCCGACAAGACCCACAGUGUUCACAUUGAACGUGACCAAACUUGGGGGAGUCAAGAUUGUCUUGUUUUCAAACAAAAAAAUUUGCAGUCAAAUUCUACGAGCAAGAUUAACGUUAAAAAACGAUGAGGGUGGUCAGGGUCUUUGAGCCUAUAUAAAGCACGAGGAAGAUGACCAAGAAUCACAAACUCAAACACAGCUUCAAGUUUCAAGCUUUUCUUCUUCCUCUCUCUCUCUCUCUUAGUUUCAGUGACUUGUUUUGGAUAUCAAAGCAAACCCAGAAGCAAAAACUAGAUGGAAGGUGCAAGGAGUGCUAUGAUCAACGGUGGGAACUUGUCUCAGAGGAUCUCUGGCCGUCUGAUCCCCAAGAGGGGUCAGGUGAAGAUGGCCAUAGUUGGGAUUCUGCUUCACUCUGUUUCUUCUAUGUUCUCUCACCGUCGUGGUGGUGCUGAUGCUCGUCAUCUCUCUUAGCUGUUUUGUCUGUGUGGGGAUUUCUAGAUGAGUGGUUGCAGAGUUUGAGCUUUUGUUUUGUGCAUCAAAGGUUGUACAAAGUUUUGUAGUUUACAGAUUAGUGAAUUGUAGUUGGUUAUCUUUGGUUUUGAUCUAGUAUUUCGAUCAACAAUCUCGAUUGUCUCUAUGUAACUUCCAAAAUCAAAGAGUGAAUCUUUAGACUGAAAUUCAUGUGGGUUUUACUAUUUAGCGCAUCAUUUGUUGCACAAGAAGCAUUUAACUGGCAUUGUGAUCUUUAAAUCUAAACAAAAUGGCACCCAAUUCCACAUAGGGAGAACAAAGUUGAAGAAAGCCUAAAUCCAACUCAAGAGACUUGGCCUUCUAACAUGUAUAUAAGUAUAAGCCUUGGAAGAUUAGUUGGGAAAGGAAUAAGUAGUUGUGUUGCUUCAACCUAUUCUUGAGUUGUCUCUGCCAAACACAAGCGUGGUAGCCCAGUUCACAGCAACAUAGAACCUGUUCCUCCAACUUACAACCCGGGUAAGAUAAGCAGAGCGCCAGAUGAACCAGCUAACAAAUCCAGCAUGGGAUAUGCCCUUUGAAUCCUGCAACAAAAUUGUAGUUAGAAGUUUAAUUGAAAGCCUAGUUUUUGGUUUUGAAGCACAUUCAUCAUCGUUUAGAGUAACAGUUUUGAUGAACACUGACCUUGGAUUUGCGCAGAUCAACGAGUGCCUUAUAACUCCCAACGGAUGCCAUGCUUCCGAGGUGCUUGUAGACAAAAGGUUCUCCCAGAGAGAUAUCUUUUGCACUCAUGGCCUUACCUGCCUCCUUCCCAAUCCUGUUAAACAACUCCACCAGAAAUUUUCCUUGCCUUUCUGCCACCUAUUUCAGACAAUGUGAAAUGAAUUGUAAUUAGGAGUUUGAAAAUAUACAGUCUUGAACUUGUUGAGCACUGAGCGAAAGAAAUGCCAGAACAAUAACAAUGUCACCCCAAGCAGUUAGAUUUUGUUUUUCCAUUUUCAUAGGGAACAAAAAGUAGAGCUUCUCAACCAGAUAUGAAAAUCCAAGAUGGUCUUGCAGUUGCCUCCAUCUGUUUUAUCAGGCUUUUGACAGUAGCAAGACAGAUAGCACAGACAUAUAACAAUCUUGCUAGCAAUGCAUUAUUCGUAGAGCACAAAGCUGGUUCUAACCUGAGCUAAAGCUGGAAGCACUGGCAUCCCAGUCUCUUCAAGAAAACCUGCGCAAUCUCCAAGUGCAAACACAUCUUCCACAGAAGGAACUCGCAUCCACCCAUCGACACCAACCCUGCAUCAGUCAAUAGUAAUUGUUAAAGAUCGUUAAUCCAACAGAAUUCAGUUGUCCACCAAUGAAGACAAGAUAAGAGAAAGAUAUGCUGGUGCAUAUACCUUCCACCAGGGGACUUGGGAAGAUUAAGUGAUUUCACAAACUGUGAGGGACCAACCCCAGUAGACCAGACCAAAAGGCCAUAUGGAACAUCAGUUCCAUCAUUAAGAACUAUCUUCUUGGCAUGCACCUCUUUCACAACACCUCGCAUAAGGUUAACACCACACUAGCGCAAAAAGUUCAUAUUUCAUAUUAGGUCUCCAAACUAACAAAAAAUGUCAACCAGGAAACUGAAUGCAAAUGAACUAACCUUGGUCAGGUGGUUCGUUGCGUACUGCCUCAAUCCAACAUCAAAGGAUGACAGUAUUUCAUUUGCCUGUUCCAGUAAAUCACAUAAUUAUGAUCAGUGACAAAAUAAUUUUUUCUUGGUAAAAAGUCAUAUAUAGGAGUGAAUGAGUAACAAGUACCUCAAUGAGGGUGACUUUGAUGUAAUCCUUAACAUGAGUAUACCGUUCACGGACAUCUUUCAUGAUGAAAUCACUCAAUUCGCCACUGAACUCCACCCCGGUAGGGCCACCUCCAAUAACAACACAAUGCAGGAGGCGUUUCCUUUCUUCCUCAGAUAUGCCUGAAAAUGAAUGUGAUAAGAUGAUUUAGAGAGUAAAUCCAAUGUUUGACAUUUUUAUGUAGAGAUUGAGGAGGCUCACCUGGAUUUUCAGAGAGCAUCAAGUUCAAGAGAAGCUUCUUUCUAAUUUCUUGGGCAUGAUACACUUCUCGGAGGAAAAAUGCAUGCUCCGCAACACCUUUGAUACCAAAUGUCAAGGGCUCAGAUCCAGCUGCUAUGACAAGCUUGUCAUAGGCAACUCUGAAUCUGUAAGGAUCACUAGGCAAAUCACCAUGGCCGACUGUCUCACAGUACACCUAUAUGAAAUACGAAGAUCAAGUUUAUCUGCUGCUAUGACCAAUCAACAGAGAAGCUGUUAUUCCAUCUUCCUUAUUGUACAGUCUAAAUAUUAAUAAUGUUCCAUGGAAAAAAGUAAAUUGUCCAUUUUGAAAAAAUCAGCUUCUGAUUUCAGAUCAAACUUCAACUUGAAGAACAUACAUCUUGUCUCAAAUUGAGCCUAGUAUGUAUUACUUCACUAGAACUCCAUUAGGAGAGACUUUUGACAUCAGAACUUAUAUUGUUACUUCAUUUCAAAACCCGAUAUCUGAGUCAGAUUUACAGCACCAUUAAAUCAUGAAAGAAAUACAUGGGGAACAUCAUUGUGUUAAUGAAAUUAGUGAGAAAAUAAUCUUGAAUUACAUGCUAUUUACGACACUGCACAGAUAAACCUGAAACCAAAAUUUUGAUGAACAAAUCUUGACUAGACAAAGUAAGAAUAGAAUUUGAUUACCUCAUGUUUCUGUGUGUCAAUACUAAAGCAAUUAGCCAGAUAGAAGUAUGAAUUGGGAUUCGUUGCUAAUGCAGACUGUAUACGACUGACAGGUUCAGCAACUGAACGGAAUUCCAAAGUACCAACACAAGUUGAAGGAAGCAAAGGAGUAAAAACCAUGUGAUUACGCGGAGAUAUGCAAACAACAUCAUAAAUCUUGGUGUCUAGUCCCUUAAGGAAUCGACAGGCAGCCCAGCCAGUACCAAGGACAACCACUCUUGGCUUUUCACCUGGCUUAGUUGCCUGUAGUCCUGGAUACUUGGGAUCAUUACACUCUGAAUCAGACUCCUCAACAAUAAUUUCGGCAGAAGGAUAUUUAUAACUUGGGGUUGUCCUUAGUCCCCUGCUCCAAUAGCUACUGUGAUUCACCUUUGGAAUGCUGGAAAGGUAUGAGAAAUUUCUGUUUCUGGCAUCGUUCUCAAGCGAAGGUAAGGAACAAUAUUUGCGUGUGGAUGCUCCCUCAGAGAACAUAUCCUUCUCACUUCUGUGACCACCAUAGGCACCUCCAGACCUUCUGUAGCUGCUCCUAGCAGUCCUAGCAAUCCUUUCAAAUGCCAUUGUGAGAGUAUCAGUCCCUCAAUCAAGACUUAUAUGUACUCUCUGAACUAUCUAAACGGAAUCAAAUUCUUGGUUGCUCAACCUGUGGAAUUGAACAGUAGACAAAGAAGUGAGCAAUGAGAAUAGUAAACAGAGAGGUUAACAUUUGAUGGCACACAUAUUUAUAGGUAGCUGUAUGUACCACUCCAAAAAAUGUGGAGAGGUCAUGACACUAGGCAGGACAAAUUAAGAUCUAGUCCAUUCUAAAACAAAGCAAGUUCAUAAUGGACAACGAUUGCUUCCAAGAUUAAUUGACAAGAAAACAAAAACCAACAUAGCUUUGGUCAUCAGUCGAUGGCAGAAACAAAGAGAAAGCUCUUGUAAAUUUAGCAGCUAAUAAAAAGCUAAAAAUGACAGUAUCUUUUUACUUCUACAUUGCCAAAGGCACAUAAUAAUCGACAAACCCAACUCAUCAUUCUUUCUACUACAGUGAUUAUUAUGUCAAAUUUAGAAUCUCAGCCAUCACAAUCAUGAAUACUCUAAUGUAUAAAGCUAGGCUCAAUUAAAUGGCAACAACCAAAAUAUCUAAGCAGAAAGCUCUCUGCUUUAUAUGAAAAAUCAACAUGAAAGACAGAAAUUGGUAAACCCAGAACAAGAAAAGAACUUUCAAGAUCAAAGACCAAUCUGCAGUAGAAAAAACCCAGAUCUUAUACACACCCAAUAAAAAGAAGCAGAAAAUGCAUACAAAAUGAGGAAUACAAAACCAUUGAAAAGCAAUGGAACAUGAACAUAUAACACCAAUAAAAAUGUGAUCUUUAUGAAUAAAAAAGUUAUCAUUAUGAAGCUGAAGGGUUUAGAAGAUUUACUGGGGUUUUGGUUUACACAGAGCUGCGUGAUCUCCAAGAUUAUGGGAGUGUAGCUUUUUUUAAUCCAAAUGUGAAAUGCCAACAGAUCGCUGAAGACUUGGUGUUUGUAAAAAAAAAAUUGAGAAUUGCAAAAAUGGUGAGAGUGGGGAGUUGAAAGGAGCCAACUUGGGGAGCAAGAAAGUUGGUUUGUUGAGAUUUGAGAAGUGCUUUUUGAUCAAGUAGUGGUCAAAAAAAGUUGGUGAUGAUAAAAAAAAAAACUGGAAGAGAAAAUUACAAAGGGUGUGUGUGUUGGUUCUGUUUGUGUGGGAAGGAAGUUCAAGCAUCAAGCAUAUGCCUUGUCUGGCAUUUUGGUAAAUCAGAGUUGUCUGAAAAGAGAACACAGAGCAGGCUUGGCAAUUGCAGUGUCGUUUUUGUGUGGUUGAAUCAGUAAAACAGGUUUUUGAAUUAGCUGCAGCCUCCACCUGUAUGUGUGUAAGACCUGUUUGGCUCCCUUAAACCCUGAAGCUCUCCCCUAAAACCCUCCUAAAACCCUAGUCAAUGGUGAAUGAGACAAAGAGUGAAGAUUUGCCAAAUAUCUAGUAGGCGGCUGUAAUUUCAUUCCAUUUUCAUUUCAUUCGCAUUUAUGAUCAAUUAUUUCCUAUUUUGGGGACUCAAUGAGUUUUGGACUGAGUUUGGUCAGAAAAUUUAGAGAUGGGCCUACGUGUCUGAUCCAGGUCUUUUGUGUCACAUCCAAAUGACUUCAGCAGCUACAUUGAGUUUGUUUUGCUUGUCAAAUUACGUUUGAGAAACUCAAACAUGCUUUUGCUUUUGCAAUGUUUGUUUGAUCGGCAAGAUAAUUCUUUUAAGGAUUAGGCAACUUGUUAGUGACGAUAUUAAACCAAAAAAAAA